GGCCCAAACCUGAAGUUGGGUAGAUUUGUAAGGUCAGCUGAUCUUACUAUUCUACUGUACUUCAAAACUGUGCAC
Molecule: microRNA precursor, 75 nt
Filed under: Haemonchus placei
Lineage: Eukaryota; Metazoa; Nematoda; Chromadorea; Rhabditida; Trichostrongylidae
Description: mir-5928 microRNA precursor family
Rfam family: mir-5928 microRNA precursor family
Source: Rfam by way of RNAcentral